AGAGUUUGAUCAUGGCUCAGGAUGAACGCUAGCUACAGGCUUAACACAUGCAAGUCGAGGGGCAGCAUCAUCAAAGCUUGCUUUGAUGGAUGGCGACCGGCGCACGGGUGAGUAACACGUAUCCAACCUGCCGACAACACUGGGAUAGCCUUUCGAAAGAAAGAUUAAUACCGGAUGGUAUAGUUUUCCCGCAUGGGAUGAUUAUUAAAGAAUUUCGGUUGUCGAUGGGGAUGCGUUCCAUUAGGCAGUUGGCGGGGUAACGGCCCACCAAACCUACGAUGGAUAGGGGUUCUGAGAGGAAGGUCCCCCACAUUGGAACUGA
RNAcentral lists this ribosomal RNA (322 nucleotides) under uncultured bacterium. Its description in RNAcentral is "bacterial SSU rRNA". It matches the Rfam family "Bacterial small subunit ribosomal RNA", at positions 8 to 322 of the family's 1533-position model. The record is from RNAcentral.